CAUAAAUACGGGGGCAUGAAGAUAAUCUAUUCUUUCUUUACUCCGUUGACAAUGGGACAAUGUUCUUUUUGUGUUUCAGAGUAAAAAAACAGACUCCAAUCUGAAUCUGACGAGUAAAAAAAUAUCGUUGUGUUUCAGAGUGUUACGCAAUUUAUCAACAAGAGCAAAGACUCUAAUCUGAUGAUGUAGGACAGCUUUAAUGUGACAGAGGAUCAUGGUGGUCGAUGGAUUGUGCACCCGGUAGUAGACUAGGAAAGGAACAUUAUUUACGGAACACAAUGAUAUUCAGAGCAGCCCUGCACUAUGUGAGAUUUAGAAGUUGGUACUGCCGGCGGAUGCAUCCAUGUGCUAAUCUCCUGGCACCGCGUAGACGGAGCCAAACGAGUUGGGGCCUCCAGCCGGCUGGUAGUGGACAACAACACCGGGUUUGUUAAUUAAUCAACAAGUCACAGAUUGUCCUCUUUUCUGAUUGGUCUGGUGUGGAUUAUCAGGCCUGCCGCGCAAUCAUAGAUUUAUCUUUUGAUUUUUGUGGGUGGACAGAAACACCCUUUCUAAAGUUUUCUAGGGAUUGUAAUGAAGCACAGUAACACACUCCAG
This 597-nucleotide ribosomal RNA is filed under the name Triticum aestivum (bread wheat). RNAcentral describes it as "partial small subunit ribosomal RNA". The record is from RNAcentral. Lineage: Eukaryota; Viridiplantae; Streptophyta; Magnoliopsida; Poales; Poaceae.